This 492-nucleotide ribosomal RNA is filed under the name uncultured bacterium. Its description in RNAcentral is "partial 16S ribosomal RNA". It matches the Rfam family "Bacterial small subunit ribosomal RNA", at positions 28 to 507 of the family's 1533-position model. The record is from RNAcentral.
GACGAACGCUGGCGGCGGGCUUAACACAUGCAAGUCGAACGGCAACACCCUGCUAGCUUGCGGUUAUGGAGGGGGAAAGGGGUAAGUAACACGUAAGUAACCUACUCUACAUUUUCGGAUGACUUCAGGAAACGGAAGCUAAUAUCAUAUAGGAUCUCAUGCUGGAGUGAAGGGAGUGGAAAUUCUCGCCUUGCGGGGAUGGACUCGCGGCUGAUCGAUUUGGUAGUUGGCGGGGUGAAGACCAACGGAGUGGACGGUACGUAGCCGGUCUGAGUGGAUGAUCAGCCACACGGGAACUGAGACACGGUCCUGACGCCUCCGGGAGGCAGCAGUGAGGAAUAUUGUACAAUGGGCGCAAGCCUGAUCCAGCCAUACCGCGUGGGUGAAGAAGUCCUUCGGGUUGUAAAGCCCUUUUGUUGGGAAAGAAAAGCAGCAGGUUAAUACCCCGCUGUUCUGACGGUACCCAAAGAAUAAGCACCGGCUAGCUUCGUG